AUAAUUUAAAAAGAUAAAAAAAAGGUUAAUUCCAUACAAGUCCUUACAAAUAUAGUAAAUUAUAAAUAUAUUUGUGUAAUUUUUAUAUAUUAUUUCUGUAAAAGUUUUGAUAUUUUUAUAUGUCCCUAUGAUUUAUUACCGUUAAAUUAUUGUUUACUUUAUAAGUGAAAUAAUUUUAUUGGCAUCACAAAUAUGGCCCUGUCCCAACUCUUAAUUAAGUCAAUUAAUCUCGUUAACUGACUAGGUUUAAAUAUUUUAUAUAUGUUUAACUAAUUUUUUUGAACGAAUCCUAACGGUAGGGACAUAUUUGAAGAUUUUAGAAUUUUUAUAGAAACAAUAUAUAAAAAUUAAAUUUUAUAGAAAUAUAUUUGUAAUUCAAUAUAUUUAUAAUAACAAAUAUGAAAUUAACCUUAAACAAAACACGGCAAGUCAUUAGCCAAUGAGAGUGUCAUAUAUUCUUAUGAGAGUGGGCUGGUAUGCUUCUGGAAGCACGGAGCCCUCCGUGUUUCCAAGUUGUUUUCGAUGUUCGGACUUUUGAAUCGACAAUCGGCUCCGUUAGAGUUGAUCUAGAGUAUUUGAAGUAUCUAAAAAAUAAAUUUUAUGAUUUUUCGAUAUCAUUUGCCUAGUGAUCGAAGCGGCUCAAAAUCAAUAAUUUUAAUAGCCGUGGUGAGCCGUUUGCAAGUUUAACGGUGUAGAAAUAUCCAAAUCACAUGAAAUUUUGAUAGAAAAUUUUUUAUACCAUAUAAAACAAGAUCAAUAACUUUGAUAUAAAAUUUUAAUGUCAUAUCAUCAUAUUUUAUAAGAUUUUUAUUUUCAGCCGUUGAUUUUGAGCCACUUCGAUCACUAGGCAAAUGAUAUCGAAAAAUCGUAAAAUUUAUUUUCUAAAUACUUCAAAUACUCUAGAUCAAGUCUAACGGAGCCGAUCGUCGAUUCGAAAGUCCGAACAUCGAAAACAACUUGGAAGCACGGAGCGCUCCGUACUUCCAGAAGCAUACCAGACGCACUCUUCUUAUGAUGGGUAAUAUCUGUUGGUCAUG
RNAcentral lists this long non-coding RNA (1037 nucleotides) under Ananas comosus (pineapple). RNAcentral describes it as "long non-coding RNA (ACOM_LNC014580)". The record is from RNAcentral. Lineage: Eukaryota; Viridiplantae; Streptophyta; Magnoliopsida; Poales; Bromeliaceae.